GACGAACGCUGGCGGCGUGCCUAAUACAUGCAAGUAGAACGCACAGUUUAUACCGUAGCUUGCUACACCAUAGACUGUGAGUUGCGAACGGGUGAGUAACGCGUAGGUAACCUGCCUGGUAGCGGGGGAUAACUAUUGGAAACGAUAGCUAAUACCGCAUAAUAUUAAUUAUUGCAUGAUAAUUGAUUGAAAGAUGCAACUGCAUCACUACCAGAUGGACCUGCGUUGUAUUAGCUAGUAGGUGAGGUAACGGCUCACCUAGGCGACGAUACAUAGCCGACCUGAGAGGGUGAUCGGCCACACUGGGACUGAGACACGGCCCAGACUCCUACGGGAGGCAGCAGUAGGGAAUCUUCGGCAAUGGACGAAAGUCUGAACGAGCAACGCCGCGUGAGUGAAGAAGGUUUUCGGAUCGUAAAGCUCUGUUGUAAGAGAAGAACGGGUGUGAGAGUGGAAAGUUCACACUGUGACGGUAUCUUACCAGAAAGGGACGGCUAACUACGUG
RNAcentral lists this ribosomal RNA (505 nucleotides) under uncultured bacterium. RNAcentral describes it as "partial 16S ribosomal RNA". It matches the Rfam family "Bacterial small subunit ribosomal RNA", at positions 28 to 507 of the family's 1533-position model. The record is from RNAcentral.